CCACUUCUCAAUAUAUUUGUGUUCUGUGAAUGUCACUGUUAUAGGUUAUAAAAAACCGGCGUGCCGUUACUCAUAAAUCGGCAGAAAUUAUUAGUUUUUCUGCAUUUCAAGAUUCGAUCGUCAACUUUUCUGGAGUUUUAAAUAGCAAGAAAAAGGACAUUGAAUAUAAUCAGUUCUGGUUGCUCUUUAAUGAACAAAAAGUUGAAACUAAGAACAUCAAAGAAAAUAUUUCUUAGAAGCUGGAUAUAGUGCUGCCCACUGUGUCUCAGCGGACUUUAAAAUGAGUAGGGGGCUAGCUGCAAAAUUCAGGAAUUGCACCACCCAAAUAACCAUAUGUGUAUAAAACUAGUUGGGCUUCUAGGAGUUCAGAUGGGUAAAUAUCGAAGGCUAUCAUACCACUACUUGGCUGGAUUUGGAUCAUGUAUUUGUACCCGGAAAUUACUUUCUUUGUAUUUGUUUAAAAAAAAAUUGUAAAAUUAUUAUGG
Anthonomus grandis grandis is the source of this 485-nucleotide long non-coding RNA. RefSeq lists it as uncharacterized. The transcript is spliced from 3 exons. Lineage: Eukaryota; Metazoa; Arthropoda; Insecta; Coleoptera; Curculionidae. The record is from RefSeq and is a predicted model, not a curated record.